GAACGCGAAGAACCUUACCAUCCCUUGACAUGUCGUGCCAUCCGGAGAGAUCCGGGGUUCCCUUCGGGGACGCGAACACAGGUGCUGCAUGGCUGUCGUCAGCUCGUGUCGUGAGAUGUUGGGUUAAGUCCCGCAACGAGCGCAACCCACGUCCUUAGUUGCCAUCAUUCAGUUGGGCACUCUAGGGAGACUGCCGGUGAUAAGCCGCGAGGAAGGUGUGGAUGACGUCAAGUCCUCAUGGCCCUUACGGGAUGGGCUACACACGUGCUACAAUGGCGGUGACAGUGGGACGCGAAACCGCGAGGUUGAGCAAAUCCCCAAAAACCGUCUCAGUUCAGAUUGCACUCUGCAACUCGAGUGCAUGAAGGCGGAGUCGCUAGUAAUCGUGGAUCAGCAUGCCACGGUGAAUACGUUCCCGGGUCUUGUACACACC
RNAcentral lists this ribosomal RNA (433 nucleotides) under uncultured bacterium. Its description in RNAcentral is "bacterial SSU rRNA". It matches the Rfam family "Bacterial small subunit ribosomal RNA", at positions 957 to 1391 of the family's 1533-position model. The record is from RNAcentral.